GGAAGGAUCAUUACCUAGAGUUGUAGGCUUUGCCUGCUAUCUCUUACCCAUGUCUUUUGAGUACCUUCGUUUCCUCGGCGGGUCCGCCCGCCGAUUGGACAAUUUAAACCAUUUGCAGUUGCAAUCAGCGUCUGAAAAAACUUAAUAGUUACAACUUUCAACAACGGAUCUCUUGGUUCUGGCAUCGAUGAAGAACGCAGCGAAAUGCGAUAAGUAGUGUGAAUUGCAGAAUUCAGUGAAUCAUCGAAUCUUUGAACGCACAUUGCGCCCCUUGGUAUUCCAUGGGGCAUGCCUGUUCGAGCGUCAUUUGUACCUUCAAGCUCUGCUUGGUGUUGGGUGUUUGUCUCGCCUCUGCGCGUAGACUCGCCUCAAAACAAUUGGCAGCCGGCGUAUUGAUUUCGGAGCGCAGUACAUCUCGCGCUUUGCACUCAUAACGACGACGUCCAAAAGUACAUUUUUACACUCUUGACCUCGGAUCAGGUAGGGAUACCCGCUGAACUU
RNAcentral lists this small RNA (501 nucleotides) under Phoma sp. ZLVG 329. RNAcentral's name for it is "eukaryotic LSU rRNA". The stretch from base 153 to 306 matches the Rfam family "5.8S ribosomal RNA". Lineage: Eukaryota; Fungi; Ascomycota; Dothideomycetes; Pleosporales; Didymellaceae. The record is from RNAcentral.